GAUGAACGCUAGCUACAGGCUUAACACAUGCAAGUCGCGGGGCGGCAUGGGGGUUGCUUGCAAUCCCUGAUGGCGACCGGCGCACGGGUGAGUAACGCGUAUCCAACCUGCCCUUCACCACGGGAUAACCCGGCGAAAGUCGGACUAAUACCGUAUGUUGUCCAUUGACGGCAUCCGAUUUGGACGAAAGGCUUAGCGGUGAGGGAUGGGGAUGCGUCCGAUUCGCUUGACGGCGGGGUAACGGCCCACCGUGGCUACGGUCGGUAGGGGUUCUGAGAGGAAGGUCCCCCACACUGGAACUGAGACACGGUCCAGACUCCUACGGGAGGCAGCAGUGAGGAAUAUUGGUCAAUGGGCGUAAGCCUGAACCAGCCAAGUAGCGUGCAGGAUGACGGCCCUAUGGGUUGUAAACUGCUUUUAUGCGGGGAUAAAGGGACCCACGUGUGGGUUUUUGCAGGUACCGCAUGAAUAAGGACCGGCUAAUUCCGUG
This 490-nucleotide ribosomal RNA is filed under the name uncultured bacterium. RNAcentral describes it as "partial 16S ribosomal RNA". It matches the Rfam family "Bacterial small subunit ribosomal RNA", at positions 28 to 507 of the family's 1533-position model. The record is from RNAcentral.